Molecule: ribosomal RNA, 324 nt
Filed under: uncultured eukaryote
Lineage: Eukaryota
Description: partial 18S ribosomal RNA
Rfam family: Eukaryotic small subunit ribosomal RNA
Source: RNAcentral
CCCUUAGAUGUUCUGGGCCGCACGCGCGCUACACUGAUGCAUUCAACGAGUUUCUUCCUGGUCCGAGAUGAAUGGGUAACCUUUUGAAAGUGCAUCGUGAUAGGGAUAGACUAUUGCAAUUAUUGGUCUUCAACGAGGAAUUCCUAGUAGACGUAGUUCAUCAGACUGCAUCGAUUACGUCCCUGCCCUUUGUACACACCGCCCGUCGCUCCUACCGAUUGAAUGCUCAGGUGAGCCAUUCGGACUUUCAUCAUGCUGGUUUCCAGUUUUGAUGAAGGAAAGUCUUGCGAACCUUAUCAUUUAGAGGAAGGAGAAGUCGUAACA